CUUUUGCAGAAAGAAGCAACAGAAGAUGCGCAGUUUAGAAGCCAAUUUGGUACACGUUGGACUAGGCCUCAAUCCAGCACUCUGACAAAGAACUUGCAGGAUAGGUUAAAUAGAUUUGCAGCUAACUUAAAGCAAGCUUCAGACAGUGAUGGCAGAAUUGAACGUUCUGUGAGGGAUCAUUCUGCACUCAUGUCAAUCCUUGAUCGCCGACCAAUAGAAUCUGCUCUUCCAACUCUGUCUAGGCCAAUAAUGUCUUUGGAUGCCAAU
RNAcentral lists this unclassified non-coding RNA (267 nucleotides) under Hevea brasiliensis (rubber tree). The record is from RNAcentral. Lineage: Eukaryota; Viridiplantae; Streptophyta; Magnoliopsida; Malpighiales; Euphorbiaceae.